GGUGAACGCUGGCGGUAGGCCUAACACAUGCAAGUCGAACGGCAGCACAGUAAGAGCUUGCUCUUACGGGUGGCGAGUGGCGGACGGGUGAGGAAUACAUCGGAAUCUACUUUUUCGUGGGGGAUAACGUAGGGAAACUUACGCUAAUACCGCAUACGACCUACGGGUGAAAGCAGUGGAUCUUCGGACCUUGCGCGAUUGAAUGAGCCGAUGUCGGAUUAGCUAGUUGGCGGGGUAAAGGCCCACCAAGGCGACGAUCCGUAGCUGGUCUGAGAGGAUGAUCAGCCACACUGGAACUGAGACACAGUCCAGACUCCUACGGGAGGCAGCAGUGGGGAAUAUUGGACAAUGGGCGCGAGCCUGAUCCAGCCAUACCGCGUGUGUGAAGAAGGCCUUCGGGUUGUAAAGCCCUUUUGUUGGGAAAGAAAAGCAGCAGGUUAAUACCCCGCUGUUCUGACGGUACCCAAAGAAUAAGCACCGGCUAACUUCGUG
This 492-nucleotide ribosomal RNA is filed under the name uncultured bacterium. RNAcentral's name for it is "partial 16S ribosomal RNA". It matches the Rfam family "Bacterial small subunit ribosomal RNA", at positions 28 to 507 of the family's 1533-position model. The record is from RNAcentral.